This is a long non-coding RNA of Quercus lobata, 667 nucleotides long. RefSeq lists it as uncharacterized. The transcript has 5 exons. The record is from RefSeq and is a predicted model, not a curated record. Lineage: Eukaryota; Viridiplantae; Streptophyta; Magnoliopsida; Fagales; Fagaceae.
UCUUUUCAAUUCCCACUUCUCUCUCCCCUCACGCCGCCACCUCUAGCCACCGAUCUGCUCUCUCUCCCACACGCCGGAGUCACAAACCUAAUUUCUUCUCUGAAUUUUUGUGUUUCUUUGUUUUCUCCCACUUUCUCGUCGAUUUUCACCGCAUUUCUUUGAUUUUCCUUUUGCACAUUUCUCAGAAAACUCAAAAAUCGAAGGUCUCCUCUCAUCUCGACUCCAACACCGCUGAUUCCACUAGUUUGAUUACAGGCAAAAAUGGGCUUGGGGAGGGUAUUGUUGUCACUCUUUGGGGUAAGCCUUAGGUCAAUGCUGAACUUCCUAUGUCCCGAGCCACUGGUGAUGUGUACCAAAAGAGACUGUCAAGUACUUCAACAAUGAAGCUUUUGAAGCUGAUCAAUAUGAUGAGUACUUAAAAGACUGUUGGUGAUUCAUUUGCUCAGGUUCUUAAUGCAAGGGAAAGUUGGUGGCUAUGCAUUAGUCUUUGAGAAGUACCAUGAGAAGGCAGAAUCCUUUUUUUGAGACCCUUUAAGAUCUUGUCAUAAUUCUAGUUGCUUAAGUUUAAAACAAUAUUUUUAUGUCAUGGUUUAAUUUCAGGAUUUCUUUGUAUAUUCUAUAUUUUAAAGUUUGAACUUAUAAGAAUUUUUAUGUUUCGAUGGAUUAA